GACGAACGCUGGCGGCGUGCUUAACACAUGCCAGUCGAACGGAAAGGCCCUGCUUUUGUGGGGUGCUCGAGUGGCGAACGGGUGAGUAACACGUGAGUAACCUGCCCUUGACUUUGGGAUAACUUCAGGAAACUGGGGCUAAUACCGGAUAGGAGCUCCUGCUGCAUGGUGGGGGUUGGAAAGUUUCGGCGGUUGGGGAUGGACUCGCGGCUUAUCAGCUUGUUGGUGGGGUAGUGGCUUACCAAGGCUUUGACGGGUAGCCGGCCUGAGAGGGUGACCGGCCUCAUUGGGACUGAGAUAGGGCCCAGAGUCCUACGGGAGGCAGCAGUGGGGAAUAUUGCGCAAUGGGCGGAAGCCUGAUGCAGCAACGCCGCGUGCGGGAUGCCGGCCUUCGGGUUGUAAACCGCUUUCGCCUGUGACGAAGCGUGAGUGACGGUAAUGGGUAAAGAAGCACCGGCUAACUACGUG
RNAcentral lists this ribosomal RNA (468 nucleotides) under uncultured bacterium. RNAcentral describes it as "partial 16S ribosomal RNA". It matches the Rfam family "Bacterial small subunit ribosomal RNA", at positions 28 to 507 of the family's 1533-position model. The record is from RNAcentral.